AUUAAAUUGGCAGAAAUUAUGCUUUAAAUUUAGGGUUUAACUAAAUGAUCAAUAUCAUAUUUAAUA
RNAcentral lists this transfer RNA (66 nucleotides) under Mitjaevia shibingensis. RNAcentral's name for it is "tRNA-Leu". Lineage: Eukaryota; Metazoa; Arthropoda; Insecta; Hemiptera; Cicadellidae. The record is from RNAcentral.